CCUACGGGUGGCUGCAGUGGGGGAUAUUGCACAAUGGGGGAAACCCUGAUGCAGCGACGCCGCGUGUGGGAAGACGGUCCUCUGGAUUGUAAACCACUGUCCCCAGGGACGAAGAUGACGUUACCUGGGGAGGAAGCUCCGGCUAACUACGGCCCAGCAGCCGCGGUAAUACGUAGGGAGCGGGCGUUGUCCGAAAUUACGGGGUGAAAGGGGAGGGUAGGCGGGACUGAAAGGUGGGGGGCAAAUCUACCGGCUCAACCGGUAGCUGCACUCAAAACUGCAGUUCUUGAGUGAAGGAGAGGCAGGCGGAAGUCCUAGUGUAGCGGUGAAAUGCGUAGAUAUUAGGAGGAACACCAGUGGCGAAGGCGGCCUGCUGGGCUUUUACUGACGCUGAGGCUCGAAAGCGUGGGGAGCAAACAGGAUUAGAUACCCCUGUAGUC
This 440-nucleotide ribosomal RNA is filed under the name uncultured bacterium. Its description in RNAcentral is "partial 16S ribosomal RNA". It matches the Rfam family "Bacterial small subunit ribosomal RNA", at positions 338 to 795 of the family's 1533-position model. The record is from RNAcentral.